RNAcentral lists this ribosomal RNA (253 nucleotides) under uncultured bacterium. RNAcentral describes it as "partial 16S ribosomal RNA". It matches the Rfam family "Bacterial small subunit ribosomal RNA", at positions 524 to 776 of the family's 1533-position model. The record is from RNAcentral.
UACGUAGGGUGCAAGCGUUGUCCGGAUUUAUUGGGCGUAAAGAGCUCGUAGGCGGUCUGUUGCGUCGGCUGUGAAAACCCGGGGCUCAACUCCGGGCCUGCAGCCGAUACGGGCAGACUAGAGUUCGGCAGGGGAGACUGGAAUUCCUGGUGUAGCGGUGAAAUGCGCAGAUAUCAGGAGGAACACCGGUGGCGAAGGCGGGUCUCUGGGCCGAUACUGACGCUGAGGAGCGAAAGCGUGGGGAGCGAACAGG